GCUUAGUCGUAAACUUAAAUAGUCCCAAAACAAGACUAUUCGCCAGAGUACUACCGGCAACAGCCCAAAACUCAAAGGACUUGGCGGUGCUUCAUAUCCUUCUAGAGGAGCCUGUUCUGUAAACGAUAAACCACGAUUAACCUCACCAACCCUUGCUACUUCAGUCUAUAUACCGCCAUCUUCAGCAAACCCUAAAAAGGAACGAAAGUAAGCACAACUAUUGCACGUAAAAACGUUAGGUCAAGGUGUAACCUAUGGGUUGGGAAGAAAUGGGCUACAUUUUCUAUAAUAAGAACACCCCUUUAAACCUACACGAAAGUUUUUAUGAAAUCUAAAAACUAAAGGAGGAUUUAGCAGUAAAUUAAGAAUAGAAUGCUUAAUUGAAUAAGGCCAUGAAGCACGC
Molecule: ribosomal RNA, 403 nt
Filed under: Orcinus orca (killer whale)
Lineage: Eukaryota; Metazoa; Chordata; Mammalia; Artiodactyla; Delphinidae
Description: partial 12S ribosomal RNA
Rfam family: Bacterial small subunit ribosomal RNA
Source: RNAcentral